CCCCUGCUUCUGAGUGACAGCAGCGUGGACAGCUGCCCACCCGGCCGGACCCGCAGUUGGGCCGCCCUCGCUGGGCAAUGCUGAGUAAGAGAAAUCAACCAAGAGUGUGAUUUUUGGCAACUGGAGUUGGAUUUGCCAGGAACGCAGCCGAGCUUCUGAGACUGUGCUUCCGGAAACAUCUCUCUUUUUUUUGGCCGCUUUCCAGAGUUCCAACUUGGCAGCCUCAAGGACACAGCGUAAGGUAUUUUGGAGAUCAAAGAUGGGUAGAAAGGACUCUUCCACUACAAAACUUCCUGUUGAUCAGUACAGAAAGCAAAUUGGUAAACAAGAUUAUAAAAAAACCAAACCUAUUCUACGAGCAACCAAACUAAAAGCAGAAGCGAAGAAAACAGCGAUCGGCAUAAAGGAGGUUGGCCUCAUGCUUGCAGCUAUACU
This 435-nucleotide long non-coding RNA is filed under the name Rattus norvegicus (Norway rat). RNAcentral's name for it is "long non-coding RNA NONRATT022110". Lineage: Eukaryota; Metazoa; Chordata; Mammalia; Rodentia; Muridae. The record is from RNAcentral.